CCUGACUUUUUGCUUGAUUCCUUUUCUUUUCUGCUGUUGAAUUCCUUUGUCUCAUUAAGUCAAUCUACAAGAAAUGGAUCAAGAGAGAUAAAGAUGGAAAGGGAGGUACACAUAAAGGAGUAUGAAAAGGAGAGGAUUGAGGAGGAGGACAAAGAAAGGAAGAGUAGGAGGAGAAGAAACAGAGCAGGAGGGGAGCCAUUGGGACUAUGGCAAAGAGACAAGUUCUAUUAGAACACCAAUUACAGCGAUCACUAGUAACAGAAGGAGGACUUCCAUGCCACCUGCGCUGGAGGAAGAAUUGUGUAGAGGAGUGACAGGAGGGGGAGGGAUAGAAAAGUGAAAGGGAAAGCAGAGAGGUCAUAGAUAGGAGGGAAGAGGCAGGAAGAAAAGAAAGGAAGGGGGAGAAAAGAGGAGAGAAUGAUGGAGGGGAGAGGGAAGAAUGAGAGUUGCAGGGAUAUCUGCUUGACUGUGAGUCUGCUUUUUCUCUUCCAGAACUGGAAUUUUCACAUUGACAUCUUUUGAAUUAAAUGAAAUGUCAUGGUGCCCCAGGAGGGGCUUUGAUCCCAAUGAACAGGACUCACCUCUCAUUUGUGUGCUUACCUGUGUACAAGAAGUCAAGGCCAUGUUCCCAGAUCCACCUCUGACAACUUGACUUUGUUACUUCACAAUGGAAGGUGUCUGAGAAUAUUGUUUGAUAUCAGCUUGACAUAGGAGGUGCUGGGUUAAAGGAAGGGCAUGGACCAGAUGUUAAUGGAACCAGAGGAAAUAUUCUGGACAUCACGUGUGGAGAAGAUGGAUCCUGGGAGCUGCUGGAGCCAGAAGGACCAGCAGGGAAGAGGAGACGGAUAUAGACAACUAAUGGAGCGAGGAAGACCCAUGAUGUAGAGAGUAUUGAUCCAAGAAUCCAGUGGAAUCUGGAGGACCAGAGAUGGCAUCAUCAUAUCAUCUCAGUGCCUGAAAGGUUUGGGACAGUAUCUCCAGGAAGACUAAAAAUAAGCUUAAGGAUCAGAAAGAUGGUAUCCUGCAUGGGUAGAAAAUGGCUCUGCCAGAAGCCAUAUGCCUGCUCAAUUCCAAGUGCCUGAUGUGUGUGUAAGUCUCAGGAGAUGUUGGCCAAGGAGAUCUUCAAGACAUCCCGAAAUGUUAAGGCUAUUUAAUCCUUGGGUUAGUUAUAAGCCAAUAUUAGAUAAUUAUCCUACUGAUUGAGUUGCAGGAUAUCAGGAAUUCAGAAUUCCUCUGAGCUGGAAUUGGAAUGCCCCUCUCUGAUAGCAGGCUGGCUUCAUAAAACAAACAU
Mesocricetus auratus (golden hamster) is the source of this 1291-nucleotide long non-coding RNA. RefSeq lists it as uncharacterized. NCBI's taxonomy places the organism in Eukaryota, Metazoa, Chordata, Mammalia, Rodentia, Cricetidae. The record is from RefSeq and is a predicted model, not a curated record. The transcript is spliced from 4 exons.